RNAcentral lists this long non-coding RNA (3690 nucleotides) under Mytilus galloprovincialis (Mediterranean mussel). Lineage: Eukaryota; Metazoa; Mollusca; Bivalvia; Mytilida; Mytilidae. The record is from RNAcentral.
UAAUAAAGGCAGUUACAAAUUCUGUACGGGAAUGAGGAUUAUUUAUAAGACUGAAAUUAUUGUAUUAUUUGCUGGAAAUGUGGAAUAUGAGGAAUUUAAAGCCAUCCGUGAGUAGUUUUUGAUGAUUCAGCUGGAAAUUAUACAGUUUGCUCCCACCUCAAAACAGUACAUGGUAUAUCAUGGACACCAAACGCAAAGAAACAUCUAAAUGCCAUAAUUUUGGGCAUCUUGAAAACUGGAAAGGCGGAUCACUUUGAAGCAGAUGAUAGUUAUAGUGUAUAAAAGAAUUCUUUGCGACAGUUAUACCAGUUGGAACAGGUAAUAGUUUAAAUUAUGGAAGUUUGAAAUUAUUUCUGGAAUAAAUUGAUACAAAAAGGUAUCAAUCAAAACUGGGACUACAUUUUUGUAUUAUACUACAUGUAGUAUGAAAAAAGUCCCAGAUCAAAGCAUUCAGAAGAUUAAAUGAAUUUUACUAAACAUACUUUUCAAAAUGUCUUUAUUAAAUUGAAUUAAAAUCAAAUUAUUGUGUGAAUUUUCUAGACACAUUGUUGUUUGAUGCUGCUUUAUUUUGAAAACUAGAAUUCAUUUACCAAUUACAAUUUUUCCCCAACUGACAAUCAUGAGGGCCUGUUUAAUAAUCUCAAUAAAUCCCCCCUUUCCCCAUAUUUUUAGUUACAAUGUGAAAUUAUUAUCUGCAAAUUUAUGAUCUGUGCUGAAUGCAAUUUUAUACAAUUUUAUUCAUCAUGUUCAAACAUUAUUCAUUUGUUAUUUGAAUAGGAUAAUAAUAUAGAAUAAAAAAAAUAAAAUAUCAGACUCAAAAGUUACAAAAAAAAAGAAGAUGUGGUAUGAUCAUGAUGAUUGCCAAUGAGAAAAUCACAUGUACAACAACAUGUAUCCUCCAUAUACACAACAGACCAUGCCACCUUAUUUAUUAUGUUUAUCAUGUUUAUCAUUAAUAUAUGUAUGUACAUGUAUGUACAUUUUUUUGUACAUGUACAAAAUGAAUGUACAUCAUGUACAUGUAAGCAACUACAAAUGAAUACAUUUGUAUAUAUACAUGUAGAAUAGAUACAUGUAUAAAAAGAUGUGGUAUGAGUGUCAAUGAUACAACUCUCCAUCCAAGUCACAAUUUAUAAAAGAAAAGACAAUCCUAUAGUUAUUAGGAUAGUCAUAUAUGUUUAUGUCAGAUAUACAUGUAAACAGUAAGCUUAAUUUGUUAAAAAGCAGGAGCAAAUUGUUGCUUGUUAAAUUAUGAGAGUCAAAUUUAAAUUUUCUGUAAUUUUGAUUCCUGCAUAUACAAUGUACCUAUAUUUUUCAUGACCUUAUGACAUAUGAAAGACACAUAUAUUGUAAAGUGAUUAUUGCAUAUAUAUUUAUUUAAAAAAAUAAAACUUGUAUAUCAAAUCUUAAGAUAAUUAGAUUCUUAAUCCACUAUUUAGAUGGGAUCUUUUGGGAUGGCAAUACCUUUGUUUCAUAAAUUUGUUGUUUAUUGUCCUUCAUCAUGUUCAUGUCCUUAGAAACUAAAUCUAGACAUAUGAUAUGGUCCGAGAACACAAUUAUUUCGUAGUGCAUUUCUUUUAGAACAUAAAUGAAAAUAAAAAAAAUCCCACCUGCGCUCUCAAAGAAACUUUUACAGUAUGUUGUACUACUUUUGGGACAAAUUAUAUCAAAAUUAUAGAAAACUUCAUCGCCUCUAACUCAAAAUAUGGACAAUUUUAUGUUUAGGGCGUCUUGAAAUCUUUUGACAGCUUCCGAAGUACUAGUUUUCAACCUUUUUCAGCUGGACCAAAUCACUACUUUCCUUUAAAAUUCUGGACCCAAAUUUUUUUACAGUGUAAUUUCACCCCCUACUUGCAAUUUGAGACAUUAAACAUGGAGAAAUAAAUUUGGAAGGGGUAUAAAAAUUAAUGGCAAGUAACCAACUGUCAACACUAGGGACUAUAUUCGUAAUUAAAAAAAUAGCUCAUUUUGAGAUCUUGUCAUUAGUAUUUAGAUACAUCAUUGUACCUUUGUACAUGUACAUUUAUGAUCAUGGUGAGCAUAUAAGAUUAAUUUGACUCAAAUAUAUCAAGUAAACUUGUAAAGUAAUAAGUAAAUUACAAUUUACCUUUCUGCUCUAAAGUGUUCAUUUAGAUCAUUUUGUACAUUAACCUGUCCAUUUAAAAAUAGAAUUAAUCAUACAAAAAAGUCUUGUAACUUUGAAAUGUUGAAUAAGUUUUCUAUGUUUUAAUGUAAUACGAUGCUAACAGAUCAUUAUAUAUUUUCCACCGGUUCUUAAGAUAAGAAAAUAACUAAUUUAAUAUUAAAUACAAUUUUCCAAAUUCAAUUCAAAGAAUAAUUGAUCACCUUAUAAUCUGUUAUUUCUUUAAACAGAUAAAAGAUACAUCAGAUGACAGCCUUACAUGUAGAGGAGCCUUUAAUUAGAGAAAUGGAUCACCUUGAUUUUGAAGUUAACCUACUGCAUUUAUAUGAAAAUUCAAAAGUGAGUACCAGUAUCUCUUAAAGUACAUUUUUACAUGUUUAUCUUUAUUUAGAUAAAGUACCAUAUAAGAUAAAGUAUGUGGAAUCUUAAAUCCAGUAUAUAUACCAGACAUUACAUCAGUACAUACAUAAUGCAAAUCAGAAUAAGAAGGCAUAACAAUUGAACUGUUAAACAUUAUUAGAUGACCAGUGUCACCUUAAUUUAAGAAAAAAUGAAAACACAGAUAACACACAGACAAAAAUUAAUGAGACCAUGUACUCCAGAUAUGCAAGAAGGGUUUUAAUCUCCCACUACAAAUGUAUAUACUUAUAUAUCUUUAUUCUCAAUAAACCAUAUACAUAGGUAUAGAGAAGACAUGCAAUUAUGUACAAUAUUUACAACAAGACAGAACAAACAAAAUAGUUGCUAAGACAAUAUAUGAAGUCCAUUUUAGCCAGGAGCACAUACACCUGUGUUAAUAAUCUUUAUGAAUUUACAUAAUUUAAUCAAUACUGAUUUGUUUUUUGAAGACAUAAUCUGUUUGUAUUUGACAAUAUUUGCAUUUUUAAAAUAAUAUAUGAAGUCCUGAAUGUAAAAUCCUCUAAAAAUUAUAUUAAACUUCAAAUAUGUGUACUUGAAUACAUGUAUAUAUAAUAUUCAAAUUCAUCUUAUUUAAGAUAAUAAAUUUAAAACAUUUUCAAGCAAAAAACUGAUGUAUAAAUGUAUAGCUUGACUGUUCCUUUAUUUUUUUCAGGUGACUGAGCUAAAAGAAAAACACACAUGAAACUGUAACCAGUUUGGGACCAUCAAAGUGACCAACAGAACAUUUGAAUACCUUUAAAGUUUUUUGUGUAUAUGUUUGACUUUUGGUAAUAUUUCAGCAGUUUCUUCAGUAAAUGAGAGACCUCAAUGUUGAAAAUGACAAUUUUGAUAGAGGACAAUUUUAAGACUAUCAACUUUAUUGUUUAUGGAAAUUAUCUUUUAAAAUAUUACUGGAUGUCUAAAAGAAUAUUUCAUUUUUUUCUGAAACUAUUUAGAUAUUUAUUAUGUUUCAUGUGUUUAUAGGCAAAUAUUUAUAUAUGUCAUUUAUGUUAAGCAAGGGUUUAUAUCUUGUAUAUGAAUUAAAAAAAGAUGUAUAUGGUUGAACUUGAUAAAACAAAUUAUUACAGAGUAACAGAAAAUGGGAUCAAUGUAUAUUAAAACAAAUCUGUUAAAAGGAAAAAAAAGUC